GGUAUAGCUCAAUGGUAGAGCACGUGCUUAGCAUGCACAAAGUCCUGGGUUCAAUCCCCAGAACCA
Camelus ferus (Wild Bactrian camel) is the source of this 66-nucleotide transfer RNA. It matches the Rfam family "tRNA". Rfam says of the family: Transfer RNA (tRNA) molecules are approximately 80 nucleotides in length. The record is from Rfam. Lineage: Eukaryota; Metazoa; Chordata; Mammalia; Artiodactyla; Camelidae.